Cynoglossus semilaevis (tongue sole) is the source of this 74-nucleotide small nucleolar RNA. Ensembl annotates it as small nucleolar RNA SNORD47. NCBI's taxonomy places the organism in Eukaryota, Metazoa, Chordata, Actinopteri, Pleuronectiformes, Cynoglossidae. The record is from Ensembl.
UGCCGAUGAUGUGAUGAUUCUGCCAAAUGAAUUUUUGUGAUUAUAACCCUUACCGUUCCAUUUUAACUGAGGCU